RNAcentral lists this microRNA precursor (163 nucleotides) under Glycine max (soybean). Its description in RNAcentral is "miR9750 stem-loop (gma-MIR9750)". The record is from miRBase by way of RNAcentral. Lineage: Eukaryota; Viridiplantae; Streptophyta; Magnoliopsida; Fabales; Fabaceae.
CAUUUCAGAGGCGCGUAUGGACUUACGACCUGAAGAUUAUUUCUUCCUGAUGAAGCUAAAGAUCUGGAUCGAGGAAGCAGAAGGCAUGGUAUAACUGCUCCUCUUCAAGAGCUUCAUCACCAGCAUUAUCUUCAGGUGUAAGUCCAUAUGUGCUCUCUAAAAU